This 327-nucleotide ribosomal RNA is filed under the name uncultured eukaryote. Its description in RNAcentral is "partial 18S ribosomal RNA". It matches the Rfam family "Eukaryotic small subunit ribosomal RNA", at positions 1470 to 1796 of the family's 1831-position model. The record is from RNAcentral.
CCCUUAGAUGUUCUGGGCCGCACGCGCGCUACACUGACGAAUGCAACGAGCUUAUAACCUUGGCCGAAAGGUCUGGGUAAUCUCCAAAUUUCGUCGUGAUGGGGAUAGAUUAUUGCAAUUAUUAAUCUUCAACGAGGAAUGCCUAGUAAGCGCAAGCCAUCAGCUUGCGUUGAUUACGUCCCUGCCCUUUGUACACACCGCCCGUCGCUCCUACCGAUUGAAUGGUCCGGUGAAGCGUUCGGACCGUGGCCUUUGGACGGUUCGCCGUCUGUUGGCUGCGGGAAGUUCGUUAAACCUUAUCAUUUAGAGGAAGGAGAAGUCGUAACA